Molecule: ribosomal RNA, 232 nt
Filed under: uncultured Bacillota bacterium
Lineage: Bacteria; Bacillati; Bacillota
Description: uncultured Firmicutes bacterium partial 16S ribosomal RNA
Rfam family: Bacterial small subunit ribosomal RNA
Source: RNAcentral
CGGGUGAGUAACACGUGAGUAACCUGCCUUUCAGAGUGGAAUAACGUUUGGAAACGAACGCUAAUACCGCAUAACAUGAGAGAACGGCAUCGUUCUUUCAUCAAAGAUUUUAUCGCUGAGAGAUGGGCUCGCGGCCGAUUAGGUAGUUGGUGAGAUAACAGCCCACCAAGCCGACGAUCGGUAGCCGGACUGAGAGGUUGAACGGCCACAUUGGGACUGAGACACGGCCCAG